GAACGGAUAGGCCUCUUCGGAGGUACUCGAGUGCCGAACGGGUGAGUAACACGUGGGUAAUCUGCCCUGCACUUCGGGAUAAGCCUGCGAUACUGGGUCUAAUACCGGAUAGGACCUAUUGGCGCAUGCCUAUUGGUGGAUAGCUAUUGCGGUGUGGGAUGGGCCCGCGGCCUAUCAGCUUGUUGGUGCGGUGACGGCCUACCAAGGCGACGACGGGUAGCCGGCCUGAGAGGGUGUCCGGCCACACUGGGACUGAGAUACGGCCCAGACUCCUACGGGAGGCAGCAGUGCGGAAUAUUGCACAAUGGGCGCAAGCCUGAUGCAGCGACGCCGCGUGGCGGAUGACGGCCUUCGGGUUGUAAACCUCUAUCAGCAGGGACGAAGCGCAAGUGACGGUACCUGCAGAAGAAGCACCGGCCAACUACGUGCCAGCAGCCGCGGUAAUACGUAGGGUGCGAGCGUUGUCCGGAAUUACUGGGCGUAAAGAGCUCGUAGGUGGUAUGUCGCGUUGUUCGUGAUAACCGGGGGCUUAACCCUCGGCGUGCGCGCGAUACGGGCAGACUGGAGUACUGCAGGCGAGACUGGAAUUCCUGGUGUAGCGGUGGAAUGCGCAGAUAUCAGGAGGAACACCGGUGGCGAAGGCGGGUCUCUGGGCAGUAACUGACGCUGAGGAGCGAUAGCGUGGGGAGCGAACAGGAUUAGAUACCCUGGUAGUCCACGCCGUAAACGGUGGGUACUAGGUGUGGGUCUCCUUCCUUGGAAUCCGUGCCGUAGCUAACGCAUUAAGUACCCCGCCUGCGGAGUACGGCCGCAAGGCUAAAACUCAAAGGAAUUGACGGCGGCCCGCACAAGCGGCGGAGCAUGUGGAUUAAUUCGAUGCAACGCGAAGAACCUUACCUGGGUUUGACAUGCACAGGACGCCGGCAGAGAUGUCGGUUCCCUUGUGGCCUGUGUGCAGGUGGUGCAUGGCUGUCGUCAGCUCGUGUCGUGAGAUGUUGGGUUAAGUCCCGCAACGAGCGCAACCCUUGUCUCAUGUUGCCAGCGGGUAAUGCCGGGGACUCGUGAGAGACUGCCGGGGUCAACUCGGAGGAAGGUGGCGAUGACGUCAAGUCAUCAUGCCCCUUAUGUCCAGGGCUUCACACAUGC
This 1146-nucleotide ribosomal RNA is filed under the name Mycobacterium simiae. Its description in RNAcentral is "bacterial SSU rRNA". It matches the Rfam family "Bacterial small subunit ribosomal RNA", at positions 64 to 1225 of the family's 1533-position model. The record is from RNAcentral. Lineage: Bacteria; Bacillati; Actinomycetota; Actinomycetes; Mycobacteriales; Mycobacteriaceae.